UUAAGGGCGCACGGUGGAUGCCUUGGCACUAGAAGCCGAUGAAGGACGUUACUAACGACGAUAUGCUUUGGGGAGCUGUAAGUAAGCUUUGAUCCAGAGAUUUCCGAAUGGGGAAACCCAGCAUGAGUUAUGUCAUGUUAUCGAUAUGUGAAUACAUAGCAUAUCAGAAGGCACACCCGGAGAACUGAAACAUCUUAGUACCCGGAGGAAGAGAAAGAAAAUUCGAUUCCCUUAGUAGCGGCGAGCGAAACGGGAAGAGCCCAAACCAACAAGCUUGCUUGUUGGGGUUGUAGGACACUCUAUACGGAGUUACAAAGGACGACAUUAGACGAAUCAUCUGGAAAGAUGAAUCAAAGAAGGUAAUAAUCCUGUAGUCGAAAAUGUUGUCUCUCUUGAGUGGAUCCUGAGUACGACGGAGCACGUGAAAUUCCGUCGGAAUCUGGGAGGACCAUCUCCUAAGGCUAAAUACUCUCUAGUGACCGAUAGUGAACCAGUACCGUGAGGGAAAGGUGAAAAGCACCCCGGAAGGGGAGUGAAAUAGAACCUGAAACCGUGUGCUUACAAGUAGUCAGAGCCCGUUAAUGGGUGAUGGCGUGCCUUUUGUAGAAUGAACCGGCGAGUUACGAUUUGAUGCAAGGUUAAGCAGUAAAUGUGGAGCCGUAGCGAAAGCGAGUCUGAAUAGGGCGUUUAGUAUUUGGUCGUAGACCCGAAACCAGGUGAUCUACCCUUGGUCAGGUUGAAGUUCAGGUAACACUGAAUGGAGGACCGAACCGACUUACGUUGAAAAGUGAGCGGAUGAACUGAGGGUAGCGGAGAAAUUCCAAUCGAACCUGGAGAUAGCUGGUUCUCUCCGAAAUAGCUUUAGGGCUAGCCUCAAGUGAUGAUUAUUGGAGGUAGAGCACUGUUUGGACGAGGGGCCCCUCUCGGGUUACCGAAUUCAGACAAACUCCGAAUGCCAAUUAAUUUAACUUGGGAGUCAGAACAUGGGUGAUAAGGUCCGUGUUCGAAAGGGAAACAGCCCAGACCACCAGCUAAGGUCCCAAAAUAUAUGUUAAGUGGAAAAGGAUGUGGCGUUGCCCAGACAACUAGGAUGUUGGCUUAGAAGCAGCCAUCAUUUAAAGAGUGCGUAAUAGCUCACUAGUCGAGUGACACUGCGCCGAAAAUGUACCGGGGCUAAACAUAUUACCGAAGCUGUGGAUUGUCCUUUGGACAAUGGUAGGAGAGCGUUCUAAGGGCGUUGAAGCAUGAUCGUAAGGACAUGUGGAGCGCUUAGAAGUGAGAAUGCCGGUGUGAGUAGCGAAAGACGGGUGAGAAUCCCGUCCACCGAUUGACUAAGGUUUCCAGAGGAAGGCUCGUCCGCUCUGGGUUAGUCGGGUCCUAAGCUGAGGCCGACAGGCGUAGGCGAUGGAUAACAGGUUGAUAUUCCUGUACCACCUAUAAUCGUUUUAAUCGAUGGGGGGACGCAGUAGGAUAGGCGAAGCGUGCGAUUGGAUUGCACGUCUAAGCAGUAAGGCUGAGUAUUAGGCAAAUCCGGUACUCGUUAAGGCUGAGCUGUGAUGGAGAGAAGACAUUGUGUCUUCGAGUCGUUGAUUUCACACUGCCGAGAAAAGCCUCUAGAUAGAAAAUAGGUGCCCGUACCGCAAACCGACACAGGUAGUCAAGAUGAGAAUUCUAAGGUGAGCGAGCGAACUCUCGUUAAGGAACUCGGCAAAAUGACCCCGUAACUUCGGGAGAAGGGGUGCUCUUUAGGGUUAACGCCCAGAAGAGCCGCAGUGAAUAGGCCCAAGCGACUGUUUAUCAAAAACACAGGUCUCUGCUAAACCGUAAGGUGAUGUAUAGGGGCUGACGCCUGCCCGGUGCUGGAAGGUUAAGAGGAGUGGUUAGCUUCUGCGAAGCUACGAAUCGAAGCCCCAGUAAACGGCGGCCGUAACUAUAACGGUCCUAAGGUAGCGAAAUUCCUUGUCGGGUAAGUUCCGACCCGCACGAAAGGCGUAACGAUUUGGGCACUGUCUCAACGAGAGACUCGGUGAAAUCAUAGUACCUGUGAAGAUGCAGGUUACCCGCGACAGGACGGAAAGACCCCGUGGAGCUUUACUGUAGCCUGAUAUUGAAAUUCGGCACAGCUUGUACAGGAUAGGUAGGAGCCUUUGAAACGUGAGCGCUAGCUUACGUGGAGGCGCUGGUGGGAUACUACCCUAGCUGUGUUGGCUUUCUAACCCGCACCACUUAUCGUGGUGGGAGACAGUGUCAGGCGGGCAGUUUGACUGGGGCGGUCGCCUCCUAAAAGGUAACGGAGGCGCUCAAAGGUUCCCUCAGAAUGGUUGGAAAUCAUUCAUAGAGUGUAAAGGCAUAAGGGAGCUUGACUGCGAGACCUACAAGUCGAGCAGGGUCGAAAGACGGACUUAGUGAUCCGGUGGUUCCGCAUGGAAGGGCCAUCGCUCAACGGAUAAAAGCUACCCCGGGGAUAACAGGCUUAUCUCCCCCAAGAGUUCACAUCGACGGGGAGGUUUGGCACCUCGAUGUCGGCUCAUCGCAUCCUGGGGCUGUAGUCGGUCCCAAGGGUUGGGCUGUUCGCCCAUUAAAGCGGUACGCGAGCUGGGUUCAGAACGUCGUGAGACAGUUCGGUCCCUAUCCGUCGUGGGCGUAGGAAAUUUGAGAGGAGCUGUCCUUAGUACGAGAGGACCGGGAUGGACAUACCUCUGGUGUACCAGUUGUCGUGCCAACGGCAUAGCUGGGUAGCUAUGUGUGGACGGGAUAAGUGCUGAAAGCAUCUAAGCAUGAAGCCCCCCCUCAAGAUGAGAUUUCCCAACUUCGGUUAUAAGAUCCCUCAAAGAUGAUGAGGUUAAUAGGUUCGAGGUGGAAGCAUGGUGACAUGUGGAGCUGACGAAUACUAAUCGAUCGAAGACUUAAUC
RNAcentral lists this ribosomal RNA (2912 nucleotides) under Staphylococcus aureus. Its description in RNAcentral is "bacterial LSU rRNA". It matches the Rfam family "Bacterial large subunit ribosomal RNA". The record is from RNAcentral. Lineage: Bacteria; Bacillati; Bacillota; Bacilli; Caryophanales; Staphylococcaceae.